AGUGGGUAGUCCGCACGAGCGCACCCCUUACCCUUAAUUGCCAUCGGGUUAUGCCGGGCACUUUAGGGGGACUGCCGGUGACAAGCCGGAGGAGGGUGGGGAUGACGUCAAGUCCUCAUGGCCUUUAUGACCAGGGCUACACACGUGUUACAAUGGGAGUUACAGAGGGAAGCUAAACCGCGAGGUCAUGCCAAUCCCAGAAAAACUUUCUCAGUUCGGAUCGCAGUCUGCAACUCGACUGCGUGAAGCUGGAAUCGCUAGUAAUCGCGGAUCAGCACGCCGCGGUGAAUACGUUCCCGGGCCUUGUACACACCGCCCGUCACACCAUGGGAGCCGACAAGGGCAGAAGUCGCCGAGCUAACCUUCGGGAAGCAGGCGCCCAAGCUGUUGUUGACGACUGGGGUGAAGUCGUAACAAGGUAGCCGUAGGAGAACCUGCGGCUGGAUCACCUCCUUUCU
This 458-nucleotide ribosomal RNA is filed under the name uncultured marine bacterium 106. RNAcentral's name for it is "bacterial SSU rRNA". It matches the Rfam family "Bacterial small subunit ribosomal RNA", at positions 1074 to 1533 of the family's 1533-position model. The record is from RNAcentral.